Molecule: RNA transcript, 5333 nt
Organism: Brassica oleracea var. oleracea
Lineage: Eukaryota; Viridiplantae; Streptophyta; Magnoliopsida; Brassicales; Brassicaceae
Gene name: protein TSS
Exons: 23
Source: RefSeq, a predicted model, not a curated record
UGUGGCGUCGUUUAGUAUAGAGAUAGAGAGAUAGAGUUGGCGUUAGCGAGAAGGAGAGGCCAGUAUUAGUCACAUAUCUCCAAAAACCAAAGCAACCCUUAUCCUCCCUUUUUUAUAUAUCUUCUCUUCAACCUCUCUUACUCAAGUCUCUCUUUCUCUCUCUAUCUCUCUCGGAAUCUACGCUCCAAGGAUCAAAAUGGCACCGAGGCCAAGCAAGGGCAAGUCAAACAGAGGAAAAGGAGAGAAGAAGAAGAGAGAAGAGAAAGUGUUGGUGCCGAGUCUGGUUGAUAUCACAGUCACGACUCCUUACGAAACACAAGUGAUACUCAAAGGAGUCUCUACUGACAAGAUCAUUGAUGUGAAAAGGCUUCUGGCAUCUCAUGCUGACACUUGCCACCUCACCAACUAUUCCCUCUCGCAUCAGGUGAAAGGGCAUAGAUUGAGUGAUAACAUCCAAGUGGUUACCCUCAAGCCUUGUGUCCUCCGUAUGAUUCCAGAGGACUACGUGGAGGAAAGUCAAGCUUUGACUCAGGUGCGGAGAGUCCUAGACAUCGUAGCGUGCACCACCAGGUUCUCCUCCGUCUCCAAAUCUUCUUCCAACAAACUCGUCGCCGUCGGAAAUGGAAAUCCGGCAGCGGAGGGACUGAACAUGGUCGCUAUCCACCCGACGCCCAAGCUCUCUCAAUUUUACAAGUUUUUCUCCAUUCCCAACGUCUCUCCUCCGAUUCUUCAGUUGAAGAAAGUGGAUGGUGAAGAAGCUGGAGAGAGGCGUGAUGGUGACUAUUUUGAACUUAAGGUUAAAAUAUGCAAUGGGAAGGUUAUACAUGUGGUUGCAUCUGUUAAAGGUUUCUUUGCCGUUGGGAAGCAUCUCUCUCAUACCCAUUCCAUUGUUGAUUUGCUUCAGAAUGUCAGCAAUGCUUUUGCCAAGGCUUAUGAGUCCCUCAUGAAAGCUUUCACUGACCGGAACAAGUUUGGCAACCUUCCGUAUGGGUUACGCACAAACACGUGGCUUGUACCCCCUUCUGAGUCUUUAUCAACCUUCUCCCCUUUACCAACAGAGGAUGAAAACUGGGGAGGGAACGGUGGAGGCCAGGGGAGGAAUGGUGAACAUGAUCUUCGUCCCUGGGCGGCUGAGUUUUCUGUGUUAGCUACGCUUCCUUGCAAGACUGAGGAGGAGAGGGUUAUUCGUGAUAAGAAGGCUUUUCUGCUUCAUAACCUGUUUGUUGAUGCCUCUGUUCGAAGAGCUGUUAGAGCCAUUUCCGACGUGAUUGGUACUAAUCAACGCACAAGUGGAACUAGUGACUUCCCUGCAGGCUCCAUCCUUCUUGAAGAUCGGGUUGGAGAUUUGUCUAUUAUUGUAAAACGUGAUGUAGCCGGCCUUGACCAGAAUCCUAAAGGUGCAUUUCAAAAUGAAGCAUUUCCUUUGUCAUCCAAGGAACUUAGUGAAAGGAAUCUGCUAAAAGGGAUAACAGCUGAUGAGAGUGUCAUUGUUCACGAUAUUUGGGCUUUAAGCACAGUUAUUGUAAAGCACUGUGGAUAUACAGCGGUGGUAAAUGUCAAGGGCGAAACUAAGAAGGGAAUGGCUGAUUUACGUGAUAUUAUGAUCGAUGACUUACCGGAUGGAGGAGCUAAUGCUCUUAACCUUAACAGCUUAAGGGUUCAGCUUCACAGGUCCCAUAGUGUCGGAAAAUCUGGAGGGAACCAGCCUCCACAGUUUGAUUUGGAUGAUUUAGAGUCUUUUAGAUGUUUGGUACAUGAACUAGUUAAAAAUAACCUAACGAAGUUAGAAGAAGAAAGGGAAUCUUCCGAAAGGUCCAUCAGAUGGGAGCUCGGUUCUUGCUGGGUUCAGCAUCUACAAAAGAAAGAAACAGUAACGGAAGAUCUCUGUGGGAAGCCUGCAAUGAAUGGUGAGACCGACCUUUCAGUCAAAGGUUUGGGGAAACAAUUUAAAGUUCUAAAGAUGAAAAAUAAGAAAUCAGAAAAUACAAGUACCGUGAAGGGAAAGGAAGAAAAUAUCAGUCUACGCGAGUUAGAUGGGGAGGCUGAUCAACACUUUGAGGCUGAACUGAAGGAACUGGUUUCUGAAGAAGCUUUCUCUCGCCUAAAAGAAAGUGGAACUGGUCUCCAUUUAAAGUCAAAAGAAGAGCUUACCAAGAUGGUAUAUGGAUACUAUGAUGAAAUUGCUUUGCCAAGGCUGGUAGCAGAUUUUGGAUCCCUGGAGCUUUCUCCAGUUGAUGGCCGCACAAUGACAGACUUCAUGCAUAUUAGAGGACUCCAAAUGCGUUCUCUAGGACAUGUGGCUAAACUUGCUGAGGACCUUCCUCACAUACAGUCCCUCUGUAUUCAUGAGAUGAUUACGAGAACUUUCAAGCAUCUUCUUAGGGCGGUUAUUGCAUCUAUCAAUAAGAUGGCAGAGCUACCUGGGGCUAUAGCUGCGUCAUUAAAUUUCAUGCUUGGCCUCCAUGGAUUGGAAGGGAGUGAUGGAAUCUCCAGUGAAGAGUCUUGUCUCAGAUUACAGUGGCUACAGAAAUUUCUCUCCACUAGAUUUGGUUGGAUACAGAAAGAUGAGUUCAAGCAUUUGAAUAAAGUUUCCAUUCUCCGAGGACUUUGCCAGAAGGUUGGGUUAGAACUAAUUCCAAGAGAUUAUGACUUCGAUUCUCCAAAUCCCUUUAAGAGCUCUGAUGUUUUUGGCUUGAUACCUGUGUGCAAGCAUGUGCUAUGCGUUUCAUCUGACGGAAGGACACUCUUGGAGUCAUCAAAACUUGCUCUUGACAAAGGAAAACUAGAUGAUGCUGUCAACCAUGGAACAAAGGCAUUAGCCAAGAUGAUUGCUGUCUGUGGACCUUAUCAUAAAAAUACUGCUUGUGCGUACAGUCUUCUAGCCGUUGUACUGUACCACACUGGCGAUUUUAACCAGGCAACUAUAUAUCAACAGAAGGCUCUGGAUAUAAAUGAAAAAGAACUUGGUCUCGACCAUCCCGACACUAUGAAAAGCUAUGGGGAUCUUUCUGUAUUUUAUUAUCGCCUUCAGCACAUUGAGUUGGCACUGAAAUAUGUGAACCGUGCUUUGUUUCUUCUUCAUUUCACUUGUGGGCUAUCUCACCCGAAUACUGCUGCCACAUAUAUUAAUGUGGCUAUGAUGGAGGAAGGAGUAGGGAACGUUCAUCUAGCUCUAAGAUACCUACAUGAAGCUCUAAAGUGCAAUAAAAGAUUGCUAGGAGCUGACCAUAUUCAGACAGCAGCAAGCUAUCAUGCAAUAGCUGUGGCUCUCUCUCUCAUGGAAGCGUAUUCAUUGAGUGUGCAUCAUGAACAGACUACACUUCAGAUACUUACAAAAACACUUGGAUCAGAUGACCUUCGUACACAGGAUGCUGCUGCAUGGCUUGAAUAUUUUGAAUCAAGAGCCAUAGAGCAGCAGGAAGCAGCUCGAAAUGGAAUCCCAAAGCCUGAUGCUUCCAUUGCGAGCAAAGGCCACCUUAGUGUAGAAGAUCUUAUGGACUAUAUAAGUUCUGAUCCAGACAAUAAAGGAAGUGUUGUUCACAGAAAACUGCGGCGUCUCACUGUUUCACCGGUCAGUGAUAGUGGUGCAUCAGCUGAUGAUGCUACCCACUCCGUUGCUUCACAGCAUGGCAUGGCUACAUUGAACGACGUGGUAGAAACAAAUGUCACUGAGAGUAAGAACGAAGUAAAUGAUCCUAAUGCCGUUGUGGAUGAGGUCGACAUAGAGACGGGUGAUACUUUAGUACACAGGCUAAAUGUAGACAACCAAACUGUGGAAGAGUCAGCUUUAGGUGAGGGCUGGCAAGAGGCUUACCCAAAGGGGAGAUCCGGAAAUGGUGCUGGAAAGAAAUUUAAACAAAGGCAGCCUUAUCAGAGAGUGUCGCUUAAUAGAAAUCUCAAUGGAAGACAGGAUGUUCAUCAACAGUAUAUAGCUUCUCCCCUGCAGAAAACGACUCCAAGACCCUCACUCUCUAAGCCAUCAUCUCUUAGGGCUCUGAAGAAUGGAGAGAUAGAUGUCAGUACAAAAACAAUUAAGCCACAAAUAAAGUCUCCUGGUUAUGCUGCGGCGACCAGUACUACUUUGGCUUCAAAGUCACUCUCAUACAAAGAGGUUGCUUUGGCACCACCAGGUACAGUUCUGAAGCCGAUGUUAGAAAAAUUAGAACUGAAUUUGGAAAGAACUGAAACUCAGAUAUACAGGAUCUCAAGUUCAUCAACCGGAGAAGAAAGCAAGUCUGAUGCUGUAAUGUCGGCUUUGCCAACGGAAGGCACAGAGCUCCCCUGUGAAAAAGAAGAAUCAGAAGAAAGUGUUGAGUCAGUAGAAAAUCUAACGUCAGAGCCUGAAGAGGAUUUAGUGUCCUGUCGUGAGCAAAAGGCUUCUGAUAUCAGCAGGAGAAAGCUGUCGGCCGCCGCAGAGCCGUACAAUCCUGGAGGUUUCUUGGUUACUGAUCCGCAUAGUCUGGUUGCAGAGCCUAUUUCCGGAACUGGAAUUCAUUCACCACCAUAUUACGGUGCUAACUACCCAAAUGGAAAUGGAAUGCCAAAAACCAUGAAUCCGGAUGCACCAGAGUUCGUUCCGAGGAGAUCCGUGAUGAAAAGCUCUCUACAUGAAGGUGGAGAUGCAAGUGUAUCCGUUGACUCCAGCAGUGGCCUAGAGGCUGAGAAAAACGCAGCUGCGUUGAAGAAGGAAGAGCUGGCGAGGCAGAUACUACUUAGCUUCAUCGUAAGUUCAUCCCAGGAGGAGGUUGUAGCAUCUAAGAAGAAGGAAAACAAGCCUAAAGAUGACUUGGCAGAUACCUCUGCAAAAGAUAGUACAGUAACAGAGAUAGUUUACAGAAGAGAAGAGGACAGUGGAGUGAAGGAAAGUGAGACGGAUGGAGGUGAAGGGUUUGUGAUUGUUGCGAAGAAGAGGAGGAAGAAGCGACUUACCAACGAUGCAGCUGGGAUUUACCAUCAACCGUCGUCCGUUUGUGCUUGAUCUGAUAAGUGGAUUUGAUCAAGCUAACAAAAUAAAGCUUCUUUGUUAAGCAGAGUAUACUCAUCUCAUUUGGCUUAUUGGAUUUCUUUUCAGGUUUGGGUGGUUCUGUUCUUAUGUAUGAUACACGUUAGACCUGUUGGUGCUGCAAAAAUUUCACAAGCAAGCCAUCCAAGCCCGAACAGUGCGAGGCAGACUUGGAUCACCAACACAGGCGAUAAAAGAUAGUCCCAACGUUUCAGUAACGCGACCCAGUUUUACCGCAAUGGAGAAAAGAAAAAAUUGCAAUAACGAUUGCUAAAAUGUAGCUGGCAUUCAUUCACACACGUCUCAACCAUUAACCAUUUCUUGUUGAUAA